AUUAGUUUUUUAAUUGAAGGCUAGAAUGAACGGUUGGACAAGAAAUAAUCUGUCUCGAUUAAAUAAAUUGAAUUUAACUUUUGAGUGAAAAGGCUUAGAUGAUCUGGUGGGACGAUAAGACCCUAUAAAACUUUAUAUUUUAGGGUAGUAGUAAGUUUUAUUUUAAGAUUACUAUUAAAAAGUAUUUUAUUGGGGCGAUAGGGAUAUAAUAGCAGAUAACUGUUCUUUUUUUUUACAAUAAUGUUUGGUAAAAAUGAUCCUAGAAGGGAUUGAAGAUUAAGUUACUUUAGGGAUAACAGCGUAAUUUUCUUUGAGAGUCCUUAUCGACAGGAAAGUUUGCGACCUCGAUGUUGAAUUAAAAAUUCUUUAUAGAGUAGAAGCUAUAAUGGAAGGUCUGUUCGACCUUUAAAAUUUUACAUGAUUUGAGUUCAAACCG
This 436-nucleotide ribosomal RNA is filed under the name Faxonius acares. RNAcentral describes it as "Orconectes acares partial large subunit ribosomal RNA". It matches the Rfam family "Bacterial large subunit ribosomal RNA", at positions 1967 to 2618 of the family's 2925-position model. Lineage: Eukaryota; Metazoa; Arthropoda; Malacostraca; Decapoda; Cambaridae. The record is from RNAcentral.